CGAAAACUCGAGAAAAAAACGAGACGAAAUGGUUUCUCUGCGCCUCACUUUCUUGUUUUCUCAGCCCCAAAAGCCUCUCAUCACCGGCCGAUCCCAUGCCCGCUCCCGCCGCGUCGCCUCGGCCGUUGCAUGCUCCGUCUCCGCCUUGGGUGUCGCCGUCGCCGCCUCUCGAGACCCCGACAACCCAUUUCUCCGAGAUGCCUUAAAUUUUUUUCGCUCCAAUUUCAAUCGCUCCUCUCCCGUCUGGGGCUCUCUCUCUCUAUCCGCCGACCCGUAUCCGGUUACC
This 286-nucleotide long non-coding RNA is filed under the name Actinidia chinensis (golden kiwifruit). RNAcentral's name for it is "long non-coding RNA (ACHI_LNC004450)". The record is from RNAcentral. Lineage: Eukaryota; Viridiplantae; Streptophyta; Magnoliopsida; Ericales; Actinidiaceae.